RNAcentral lists this ribosomal RNA (749 nucleotides) under uncultured archaeon. RNAcentral's name for it is "bacterial SSU rRNA". It matches the Rfam family "Archaeal small subunit ribosomal RNA", at positions 102 to 856 of the family's 1478-position model. The record is from RNAcentral.
GGAUAACCUGCCCUAAGGAAGGGGAUAACCUCGGGAAACUGAGGAUAAUACCCUAUAGGAUACCGACGCUGGAAUGCCCGGUAUCCCAAAGCUCCGGCGCCUUAGGAUGGAUCUGCGGCCGAUUAGGUCGUUGUUGGGGUAACGGCCCAACAAGCCGAUAAUCGGUACGGGUUGUGGGAGCAAGAGCCCGGAGUUGGAUUCUGAGACACGAAUCCAGGCCCUACGGGGCGCAGCAGGCGCGAAAACUUUACAAUGCGGGCAACCGUGAUAAGGGAACCUCGAGUGCCUGUACAUGCAGGCUGUCUGGGUGUCUAAAACACACCCAAAGAAAGGGCCGGGCAAGACCGGUGCCAGCCGCCGCGGUAAUACCGGCGGCUCGAGUGGUGGCCACUUUUAUUGGGCUUAAAGCGUUCGUAGCUGGGUUGUUAAGUCUCUUGGGAAAUCUGGCAGCUUAACUGUCAGGCGUCUAAGAGAUACUGGCAAUCUAGGAACCGGGAGAGGUGAGGGGUACUUCGGGGGUAGGAGUGAAAUCCUGUAAUCCUCGAGGGACCACCUGUGGCGAAGGCGCCUCACCAGAACGGCUUCGACAGUGAGGGACGAAAGCUGGGGGAGCAAACCGGAUUAGAUACCCGGGUAGUCCCAGCCGUAAACGAUGCGCGUUAGGUGUGUCGAUGACCACGAGUCAUCGAGGUGCCGAAGGGAAACCGUGAAACGCGCCGCCUGGGAAGUACGGUCGCAAGGCUGAAACU